AUGACUAGGGAUAACCUUAGGAAGAGACACAUCAUCAAACCCCUUGAUUGUGUUUACUGCUUGGAACAAGAGUCUUGUUCUCACCUAUUUAUUGAAUGUAUAGUUGCUAAACAUCUCUGGGCCCACAUUAAGGAAUAUUUCUCUAGUCAGAUUGGCUCAUCCUUCGAAUCUGUCGCCAGAUUCUGGAUUGCUACCAAAAAGUGCUCAGUUUUAAACACUGUUAGCUCAGCUGUCCUUUGGUGCCUCUGGAAAUAUAGAAAUGCUAUGAUUUUCAGUAACACCUCCUGGAUUUCCAUUCCGCAGGUCUUGAGGUUGAUUAGGAACAUGGUGAGGAACUGGGUGAUUCUCUCCACCGGAUCGGACAAGGAAAGUUGA
RNAcentral lists this ribosomal RNA (375 nucleotides) under Triticum aestivum (bread wheat). Its description in RNAcentral is "partial small subunit ribosomal RNA". The record is from RNAcentral. Lineage: Eukaryota; Viridiplantae; Streptophyta; Magnoliopsida; Poales; Poaceae.